GGCCUGAUAGCCUAGUGGCUAGGGCUCUGUACCACAGGUUUUGGCCCUGGAUGUUUGUAGUGGUUCGAAUCCACUUUAAACCG
Non-coding RNA from Caerostris extrusa, 83 nucleotides. Lineage: Eukaryota; Metazoa; Arthropoda; Arachnida; Araneae; Araneidae. The record is from the annotation of a GenBank genome assembly.